This 1855-nucleotide long non-coding RNA is filed under the name Marmota monax (woodchuck). Lineage: Eukaryota; Metazoa; Chordata; Mammalia; Rodentia; Sciuridae. The record is from RNAcentral.
AGAGAAAGCAGACCUAAGCAAUAUGAUUCUCACUCCAUUCCCCUAACCAUAUGCCUGCUCACCUUCAGCCAAAUUUGUCUGUGGCAUAUAUUGGAAUUCUGAAAGGGUGCUUUUAGAAGAAAUGAAUUUUUUUUUAAUGAAAAGGAGAAAACACCAAUUGAGACUAAUGUCUUUACGUAAGAGGAAGAAGUACAAGUCUCAGAAUGGAGCAGGGCUUCUUCAGCGUCGCCUCUUACAGAGGCAGGGUGGACAGGACAAGGACUCUCAGCUCUGGUCUCAAUUAUCCCUCCUCCCGGCUGCAGUUACAUGGUAAGAACUGAGAUAACACCGAAACUGGAUUCUUUCACGGGAAAGGCAGAGAAAUCAGCCUGCACAAGUAGACAAGAACUGCAUCCUCGGGAAGAGUCCAUGAUGGGGCUGCAGACACAGGCAGAGAGCAGCUUGGGUGUUGUGUGUGUGUAUGAUGGUGAAAUGGUUUCAAGAGGCAGAUGACCAAGAUAGCUGCUCCAGCUCUGACUCAAACAAUCUCUUUAAGCAGAGAGUGACCAAACUGAGAAGCAACUAGAUGGCUACACAUGUCCUUAGUGAAUCCUCCCCCUCCCCUGCUUUCUGCAUGGUCUAAAACUCUAUCCAGAGAGCUACCCUCAUAGGUAGGCUCCCCUGAAUAAAUCUUUGACCAUCUACCAACCUGGAGCAAUCUCCUUCUUUGAUCUGAACUUUACCUCUGCUGACAGAGGAUGGUUCUCAGAUGCAUCCAGGGAGCUUUCUGAACACGGCAUCACAAGCAGGAUGCUGGGCACCUCCUUCUGCUUCACUAUAUUAUGUCUGCAGCCUUCCAUUAAAUGACAACUAACGGGGAGUCAAGGGUAGACAGUACUCAAUUGACAGCAGGAGAUUCAGAAUUACAGGAGAAGCCUAGCUGCAGCUGCCAUACCUAGGUAACUUUCUUUAAAGUUGUUGUUUUGAUUUUGGUACCAGGAACUGAACCCAGGAGUGCUUAACCACUGAGCAACUUCUCUAACCCUUUUUUUUUUAAUUUAUUUUUAAUUUUGAGACAGGGUCUUGCUAAAUUGCUUAGGGCUUCACUAAUUUUCUGAGGCUGGCUUUGGACUUACAAUCCUCCUGCUUCAGCCUCCUGAGUCACUGGGAUUAUAGGUGUGCAUCAUGGUGUCCAGCUUCAAUGUUGUUUUUCAUAUAAAGUUGUUUUCCAAUUAACUUCUUAAGAUUUUCUUGGAAGUUCCUGGGAGAGAGAGAGAGGUAAGUUCAUACAGCUUCAAACUAGUAUGAACCAUUCCACCAGGCAGAAGACAUCAGAGAGCAGGCUACAUAUAUGAUAAAGUUAACCUCAUUUUAAUGCUAAAAUCUUCAGCCAAGGAGGGCCAAUGCCUCACUUCUGUAACAUCAAACUAUAGCAUGUUGUUAAAAUGCAGCUGUGCACCUGUGUAUAUGAUCAUGUUUCUACCCCUUUGAAUAAGCAUUCUCUGUUCAGAUGAAUUUACCCACCUUUUCUAAAUUCAGGGGGUCAUGGCUUUGGAAUUGAUUCCUCAUGGUCUCAUGAUUUGCUGCAAAUAAACUAUUUUGUGCAACAGGCAUUCUUGGUGUUUGCUUCCCACCAAGAGGCAAACUCAAGGAAUCUUGUAACAAACUGUUAAGCUUGUGGUACCAAACAUUCCCUUAUGAGGUGGAAGCUCUGGUCAUGCCUGAUCAUGCCUGGUCAUGUGGAUUCAAGGGCUGUGUUUUGUAAUAGAAACAGUCCUGGUCUUAGAAGGGAAAAUCUUAGGUCCUGUUGGAGUUUGAGAACUUGUGGCCUUUCAAGAAUUCUUCUUUUAGCAUGAGAAGAAGAUUAACAUUAAAC